GAUGAACGCUGGCGGCGUGCCUAAUACAUGCGAGUCGAGCGAACAGACGAGGAGCUUGCUCCUCUGACGUUAGCGGCGGACGGGUGAGUAACACGUGGAUAACCUACCUAUAAGACUGGGAUAACUUCGGGAAACCGGAGCUAAUACCGGAUAAUAUAUUGAACCGCAUGGUUCAAUAGUGAAAGACGGUUUUGCUGUCACGUAUAGAUGGAUCCGCGCCGCAUUAGCUAGUUGGUAAGGUAACGGCUUACCAAGGCAACGAUGCGUAGCCGACCUGAGAGGGUGAUCGGCCACACUGGAACUGAGACACGGUCCAGACUCCUACGGGAGGCAGCAGUAGGGAAUCUUCCGCAAUGGGCGAAAGCCUGACGGAGCAACGCCGCGUGAGUGAUGAAGGUCUUCGGAUCGUAAAACUCUGUUAUUAGGGAAGAACAAAUGUGUAAGUAACUAUGCACGUCUUGACGGUACCUAAUCAGAAAGCCACGGCUAACUACGUG
This 497-nucleotide ribosomal RNA is filed under the name uncultured bacterium. RNAcentral describes it as "partial 16S ribosomal RNA". It matches the Rfam family "Bacterial small subunit ribosomal RNA", at positions 28 to 507 of the family's 1533-position model. The record is from RNAcentral.